CACCAGACUCCUACGGGAGGCAGCAGUGGGGGAUAUUGCACAAUGGGGGAAACCCUGAUGCAGCGACGCCGCGUGUGGGAAGACGGUCCUCUGGAUUGUAAACCACUGUCCCCAGGGACGAAGAUGACGGUACCUGGGGAGGAAGCUCCGGCUAACUACGUGCCAGCAGCCGCGGUAAUACGUAGGGAGCGAGCGUUGUCCGGAAUUACUGGGUGUAAAGGGAGCGCAGGCGGCGCGUUAAGCCUGGUGUGAAAGCCCGCGGCCCAACCGCGGGACUGCAUUGGGAACUGGCGCGCUGGAGUGCCGGAGGGGUAGGCGGAAUUCCUAGUGUAGCGGUGAAAUGCGUAGAUAUCAGGAGGAACACCGGCGGCGAAGGCGGCUUGCUGGACUGUAAAUGACGCUGAGGCUCGAAAGCGUGGGGAGCAAACAGGAUUAGAUACCCCUGUAA
This 448-nucleotide ribosomal RNA is filed under the name uncultured bacterium. RNAcentral's name for it is "bacterial SSU rRNA". It matches the Rfam family "Bacterial small subunit ribosomal RNA", at positions 329 to 793 of the family's 1533-position model. The record is from RNAcentral.